GAUACUUCCUGGAUAACGCAUAUAUGCUGGAAUGCUUUAUGCGUAAAUGGAUUCGUCCGCCCAAGGAUGGGUCUGCGGCCUAUCAGGUAGUAGUGGGUGUAAUGUACCUACUACCCUACAACGGGUACGGGUUGUGAGAGCAAGAGCCCGGAGAUGGAUUCUGAGACAUGAAUCCAGGCCCUACGGGGCGCAGCAGGCGCGAAAACUUUACAAUGCGGGAAACCGUGCAUAAGGGGACACCGAGUGCUAGCAUCAUAUGCUGGCUGUCCAGGUGUGUAAACUACACCUGUUAGCAAGGGCCGGGCAAGACCGGUGCCAGCCGCCGCGGUAACACCGGCGGCCCGAGUGGUGAUCGUGAUUAUUGGGUCUAAAGGGUCCGUAGGCGGUUUGGUCAGUCCUCCGGGAAAUCUGAUAGCUCAACUAUUAGGCUUUUCGGGGGAUACUGCCAGACUUGGCAACCGGGAGAGGUUAAGAAGUACUACCGGCGUAGGAGUGAAAUCUUGCAAUCCCUGUGGAACCACCUGUGGCGAA
This 531-nucleotide ribosomal RNA is filed under the name Methanosarcina barkeri. Its description in RNAcentral is "bacterial SSU rRNA". It matches the Rfam family "Archaeal small subunit ribosomal RNA", at positions 144 to 670 of the family's 1478-position model. The record is from RNAcentral. Lineage: Archaea; Methanobacteriati; Methanobacteriota; Methanomicrobia; Methanosarcinales; Methanosarcinaceae.